CCUACGGGAGGCAGCAGUGGGGAAUAUUGCACAAUGGGCGGAAGCCUGAUGCAGCAACGCCGCGUGCGGGAUGACGGCCUUCGGGUUGUAAACCGCUUUCGCCUGUGACGAAGCGUGAGUGACGGUAAUGGGUAAAGAAGCACCGGCUAACUACGUGCCAGCAGCCGCGGUGAUACGUAGGGUGCGAGCGUUGUCCGGAUUUAUUGGGCGUAAAGGGCUCGUAGGUGGUUGAUCGCGUCGGAAGUGUAAUCUUGGGGCUUAACCCUGAGCGUGCUUUCGAUACGGGUUGACUUGAGGAAGGUAGGGGAGAAUGGAAUUCCUGGUGGAGCGGUGGAAUGCGCAGAUAUCAGGAGGAACACCAGUGGCGAAGGCGGUUCUCUGGGCCUUUCCUGACGCUGAGGAGCGAAAGCGUGGGGAGCGAACAGGCUUAGAUACCCUGGUAGUCCACGCUGUCAACGGUCCGUACUAG
RNAcentral lists this ribosomal RNA (469 nucleotides) under uncultured bacterium. Its description in RNAcentral is "bacterial SSU rRNA". It matches the Rfam family "Bacterial small subunit ribosomal RNA", at positions 338 to 819 of the family's 1533-position model. The record is from RNAcentral.